UACGGAGGAUGCAAGCGUUAUCCGGAUUCAUUGGGUUUAAAGGGUGCGUAGGCGGAAUGAUCAGUCAGUGGUGAAAUCCCCCGGCUUAACCGGGGAACUGCCAUUGAUACUUUCAUUCUUGAGUACAGUUGAAGUGGGCGGAAUGAGUCAUGUAGCGGUGAAAUGCAUAGAUAUGACUCAGAACACCGAUAGCGAAGGCAGCUCACUAAGCUGUAACUGACGCUCAGGCACGAAAGCGUGGGGAGCAAACAGGAUUAGAUACCCCCGUA
Molecule: ribosomal RNA, 269 nt
Filed under: uncultured prokaryote
Description: partial 16S ribosomal RNA
Rfam family: Bacterial small subunit ribosomal RNA
Source: RNAcentral